Molecule: ribosomal RNA, 451 nt
Filed under: uncultured bacterium
Lineage: Bacteria
Description: SSU rRNA
Rfam family: Bacterial small subunit ribosomal RNA
Source: RNAcentral
AGAGCGAACGCUGGCGGCAUGCUUAACACAUGCAAGUCGCACGGUCAGCAAUGGCAGUGGCGGACGGGUGAGUAACGCGUAGGAAUUUAUCGAUGGGUGGGGGACAACUGCGGGAAACUGCAGCUAAUACCGCAUGACGCCUGAGGGCCAAAGGUUGCAAGACCGCCUGUUGAGGAGCCUGCGUCUGAUUAGCUUGUUGGUGGGGUAAAGGCUUACCAAGGCGACGAUCAGUAGCUGGUCUGAGAGGAUGAUCAGCCACAUUGGGACUGAGACACGGCCCAAACUCCUACGGGAGGCAGCAGUGGGGAAUAUUGGACAAUGGGCGCAAGCCUGAUCCAGCAAUGCCGCGUGUGUGAAGAAGGUCUUCGGAUUGUAAAGCACUUUUGGCAGGGACGAUGAUGACGGUACCUGCAGAAUAAGCCCCGGCUAACUUCGUGCCAGCAGCCGCGGU